GUAGGUGGCAAGCGUUGUCCGGAAUUAUUGGGCGUAAAGCGCGCGCAGGUGGUUCUUUAAGUCUGAUGUGAAAGCCCCCGGCUCAACCGGGGAGGGUCAUUGGAAACUGGGGAACUUGAGUGCAGGAGAGGAAAGUGGAAUUCCACGUGUAGCGGUGAAAUGCGUGGAUAUGUGGAGGAACACCAGUGGCGAAGGCGACUUUCUGGCCUGUAACUGACACUGAGGCGCGAAAGCGUGGGGAGCAAACAGGGAUUAGAUACCCUGGUAGUCCACGCCGUAAACGAUGAGUGCUAAGUGUUGGGGGGGUUUCCCGCCCCUCAGUGCUGCAGCUAACGCAUUAAGCACUCCGCCUGGGGAUACGGUCGCAAGACUG
This 373-nucleotide ribosomal RNA is filed under the name uncultured organism. Its description in RNAcentral is "partial 16S ribosomal RNA". It matches the Rfam family "Bacterial small subunit ribosomal RNA", at positions 527 to 896 of the family's 1533-position model. The record is from RNAcentral.